GUUAUAUGGUCAAGCGAAUAAGCGCACACGGUGGAUGCCUUGGCGGUCAGAGGCGAUGAAGGACGUGGCAGCCUGCGAAAAGUAUCGGGGAGCUGGCAACAAGCUUUGAUCCGGUAAUGUCCGAAUGGGGAAACCCACCCGCUUGCGGGUAUCCUGCAGUGAAUACAUAGCUGCUGGAAGCGAACCUGGUGAACUGAAAUAUCUAAGUAACCAGAGGAAAAGAAAUCAACCGAGAUUC
RNAcentral lists this ribosomal RNA (238 nucleotides) under Salmonella enterica. RNAcentral's name for it is "partial 23S ribosomal RNA". It matches the Rfam family "Bacterial large subunit ribosomal RNA", at positions 1 to 237 of the family's 2925-position model. The record is from RNAcentral. Lineage: Bacteria; Pseudomonadati; Pseudomonadota; Gammaproteobacteria; Enterobacterales; Enterobacteriaceae.